GACGAACGCUGGCGGCGUGCUUAACACAUGCAAGUCGAACGGAAAGGCCCUGCUUUUGUGGGGUGCUCGAUUGGCGAACGGGUGAGUAACACGUGAGUAACCUGCCCUUGACUUUGGGAUAACUUCAGGAAACUGGGGCUAAUACCGGAUAGGAGCUCCUGCUGCAUGGUGGGGGUUGGAAAGUUUCGGCGGUUGGGGAUGGACUCGCGGCUUAUCAGCUUGUUGGUGGGGUAGUGGCUUACCAAGGCUUUGACGGGUAGCCGGCCUGAGAGGGUGACCGGCGACAUUGGGACUGAGAUACGGCCCAGACUCCUACGGGAGGCAGCAGUGGGGAAUAUUGCACAAUGGGCGGAAGCCUGAUGCAGCAACGCCGCGUGCGGGAUGACGGCCUUCGGGUUGUAAACCGCUUUCGCCUGUGACGAAGCGUGAGUGACGGUAAUGGGUAAAGAAGCACCGGCUAACUACGUG
This 468-nucleotide ribosomal RNA is filed under the name uncultured bacterium. RNAcentral describes it as "partial 16S ribosomal RNA". It matches the Rfam family "Bacterial small subunit ribosomal RNA", at positions 28 to 507 of the family's 1533-position model. The record is from RNAcentral.